GCUGGAUCCUGGAGUGCCGGACGGCGUCAUUCAGCCUGGUGAGACUUCUUCUGGGUGCCAAUGUGACUGAGCAGAGGUCUCUGGCAGGAAAAAAAGAAGGAGGCGUUGGCUUUAUGGUGAAUAAUGCACAAAUUGAAGGAAAACCUCGAGAGCGCCUCCAACCAGGUCCUGUCUCUCACCACGCUGGUUACUGGAGGCUCGCUGAGCCGCUCACAGCUCGGACAUGAAGAGAGAAUAAUGGCGUGGUGGAGACAGAACCAACGAAGACCAGCAGAGACACUUCCGGACUAGUUCUUCAAAAUAAAAGUCCUACUGAACUUUG
Molecule: long non-coding RNA, 322 nt
Organism: Sebastes umbrosus (honeycomb rockfish)
Lineage: Eukaryota; Metazoa; Chordata; Actinopteri; Perciformes; Sebastidae
Exons: 2
Source: RefSeq, a predicted model, not a curated record